Non-coding RNA from Triticum aestivum (bread wheat), 115 nucleotides. The record is from Rfam. NCBI's taxonomy places the organism in Eukaryota, Viridiplantae, Streptophyta, Magnoliopsida, Poales, Poaceae.
CGCAUACUCCCCCCGUUCGGAAUUACUUGUCUCGGAAAUGGAUGUAUCUAGAAUUAAAAUACGUCUAGAUACAUCCAUUUCUGCGACAAGUAAUUCCGAACGAAGAGAGUACUAG